RNAcentral lists this transfer RNA (74 nucleotides) under Epulopiscium sp. Nele67-Bin005. It matches the Rfam family "tRNA". Rfam says of the family: Transfer RNA (tRNA) molecules are approximately 80 nucleotides in length. The record is from Rfam by way of RNAcentral. Lineage: Bacteria; Bacillati; Bacillota; Clostridia; Lachnospirales; Lachnospiraceae.
GCACGCAUAGCUCAGCUGGAUAGAGCAUCUGACUUCGGAUCAGAGGGUCGUGGGUUCAAAUCCUACUGCGUGUG